UCUGCCACAGGCUGGAUAGAAAAGGCCUUCUAUCAAUAAAGAGAUGACUAGCACGGCCCCUGUGCAAGGACGACAGGCAAAUUUCUGAAAUUUUCCAUAAUUUU
This is a small nuclear RNA of Acomys russatus (golden spiny mouse), 104 nucleotides long. The record is from RefSeq and is a predicted model, not a curated record. NCBI's taxonomy places the organism in Eukaryota, Metazoa, Chordata, Mammalia, Rodentia, Muridae.